Non-coding RNA from Trichobilharzia regenti, 50 nucleotides. The record is from Rfam. NCBI's taxonomy places the organism in Eukaryota, Metazoa, Platyhelminthes, Trematoda, Strigeidida, Schistosomatidae.
GUACUGCUGAAGAGUCCCAAACUAGGACGAAACAGAUGACUGUCCAGUGC